This 852-nucleotide ribosomal RNA is filed under the name uncultured bacterium. RNAcentral's name for it is "bacterial SSU rRNA". It matches the Rfam family "Bacterial small subunit ribosomal RNA", at positions 8 to 816 of the family's 1533-position model. The record is from RNAcentral.
AGAUUUUGAUCCUGGCUCAGGAUGAACGCCGGCGGUGUGCCUAAUACAUGCAAGUCGUACGCACUGGCCCAACUGAUUGAUGGUGCUUGCACCUGAUUGACGAUGGAUCACCAGUGAGUGGCGGACGGGUGAGUAACACGUAGGUAACCUGCCUCGGAGCGGGGGAUAACAUUUGGAAACAGAUGCUAAUACCGCAUAACAACAAAAGCCACAUGGCUUUUGUUUGAAAGAUGGCUUUGGCUAUCACUCUGGGAUGGACCUGCGGUGCAUUAGCUAGUUGGUAAGGUAACGGCUUACCAAGGCAAUGAUGCAUAGCCGAGUUGAGAGACUGAUCGGCCACAAUGGAACUGAGACACGGUCCAUACUCCUACGGGAGGCAGCAGUAGGGAAUCUUCCACAAUGGGCGCAAGCCUGAUGGAGCAACACCGCGUGAGUGAAGAAGGGUUUCGGCUCGUAAAGCUCUGUUGUUGGAGAAGAACGUGCGUGAGAGUAACUGCUCACGCAGUGACGGUAUCCAACCAGAAAGUCACGGCUAACUACGUGCCAGCAGCCGCGGUAAUACGUAGGUGGCAAGCGUUAUCCGGAUUUAUUGGGCGUAAAGCGAGCGCAGGCGGUUGCUUAGGUCUGAUGUGAAAGCCUUCGGCUUAACCGAAGAAGUGCAUCGGAAACCGGGCGACUUGAGUGCAGAAGAGGACAGUGGAACUCCAUGUGUAGCGGUGGAAUGCGUAGAUAUAUGGAAGAACACCAGUGGCGAAGGCGGCUGUCUGGUCUGCAACUGACGCUGAGGCUCGAAAGCAUGGGUAGCGAACAGGAUUAGAUACCCUGGUAGUCCAUGCCGUAAACGAUGAGUGC